Molecule: ribosomal RNA, 497 nt
Filed under: uncultured bacterium
Lineage: Bacteria
Description: partial 16S ribosomal RNA
Rfam family: Bacterial small subunit ribosomal RNA
Source: RNAcentral
GAUGAACGCUGGCGGCGUGCCUAAUACAUGCAAGUCGAGCGAACAGACGCGGUGCUUGCUCCUCUGACGUUGACGGCGGGAGGGUGAGUAACACGUCGAUCACCUACCUCUAAGACUGCAAUAACUUCGGGAAACCGGUGCUAAUACCGGGUCAUCUAUUCAACCUCAUGGUUCAAUAGUUAAAUACGGUUUUGAUGUCCCCUCUAGCUAGCUCCUCGUCGCUGUGGCUAGUUGGUACGGUAACGGCUUACCAAUGCAACGAUGCGUAGCCGACCGGAGAGGGGGAUCGGCCACACUGGAACUGAGAGACGGUCCAGACUCCUACGGGAGGCAGCAGUAGGGAAGGGUGCGCGAUGGGCGAAAGCCUGACGGAGCAACGGCGCGCGAGUGAAGAAGGGCUGCGUACCGGAAAACGCUGUUAGGGGGGAAGACCAAAUGUGAAAGUAACGAUGCACGUCGUGACGGUACCAAAACAGAAAGCCACGGCUAACUACGUG